RNAcentral lists this ribosomal RNA (446 nucleotides) under uncultured bacterium. RNAcentral's name for it is "bacterial SSU rRNA". It matches the Rfam family "Bacterial small subunit ribosomal RNA", at positions 330 to 792 of the family's 1533-position model. The record is from RNAcentral.
ACCAGACUCCUACGGGAGGCAGCAGUGGGGAAUAUUGCACAAUGGGGGAAACCCUGAUGCAGCGACGCCGCGUGAGUGAAGAAGUAUUUCGGUAUGUAAAGCUCUAUCAGCAGGAACGAGACAAGACGGUACCUGACUAAGAAGCCCCGGCUAACUACGUGCCAGCAGCCGCGGUAAUACGUAGGGGGCAAGCGUUAUCCGGAAUCACUGGGUGUAAAGGGAGCGUAGACGGCUGUGCAAGCCUGAAGUGAAAGGCGGGGGCCCAACCCCUGGACUGCUUUGGGAACUGUACGGCUGGAGUGCAGGAGAGGUAAGUGGAAUUCCUGGUGUAGCGGUGAAAUGCGUAGAUAUCAGGAGGAACACCGGUGGCGAAGGCGGCCUGCUGGACUGCAACUGACGUUGAGGCCCGAAAGCGUGGGGAGCAAACAGGAUUAGAUCCCCCAGUA